Molecule: unclassified non-coding RNA, 148 nt
Organism: Pongo abelii (Sumatran orangutan)
Lineage: Eukaryota; Metazoa; Chordata; Mammalia; Primates; Hominidae
Rfam family: Metazoan signal recognition particle RNA
About the family: The signal recognition particle (SRP) is a universally conserved ribonucleoprotein. It is involved in the co-translational targeting of proteins to membranes.
Source: Ensembl
GCUGGGCAUGGUGGUGCAUGCCUGUAGUCCCAGCUACUCAGGAGGCCGAGGCACGAGAAUCACUUGAACCCAGGAGGCAGAGGCUGCAGUGAGCCGAGAUCAUGCCACUGCACUCUGGCCUGGGUGACAGAGUGAGACCCUGUCUCAA